GUCUUUUUGAGUUAUUUUUAAAGUCUGACCUGCCCACUGAAUUUUUAAAUGGCCGCAGUAUUCUAACUGUGCAAAGGUAGCAUAAUCAUUAGUCUUUUAAUUGAAGGCUGGUAUGAACGGUUGGACGAGGUAUAAACUGUUUCAUAUAAAUUUAUAGUAGAAUUUUAUAUUUUAGUCAAAAAGCUAAAAUUUAAUUAAAAGACGAGAAGACCCUAUAAAUCUUUAUAUUUUAUGUAAUUUAAAUUUUUUAGAUUUAUUUUAUUUUUAUUAUAUAAAAUAUUUUGUUGGGGUGAUAUUAAAAUUUGAUAAACUUUUAAUUAGUUUAAAUCAUUAAUUUAUGAAUUGUUGAUCCAUUAAUAGUGAUUAUAAGAUUAAGUUACUUUAGGGAUAACAGCGUAAUUUUUUUGGAGAGUUCAUAUCGAUAAAAAAGUUUGCGACCUCGAUGUUGGAUUAAGAUAUAAUUUUAGGUGUAGCCGCUUAAAUGAUAAGUCUGUUCGACUUUUAAAUUCUU
Molecule: ribosomal RNA, 511 nt
Filed under: Dacus hyalobasis
Lineage: Eukaryota; Metazoa; Arthropoda; Insecta; Diptera; Tephritidae
Description: partial 16S ribosomal RNA
Rfam family: Bacterial large subunit ribosomal RNA (bases 387-511)
Source: RNAcentral